This 491-nucleotide ribosomal RNA is filed under the name uncultured bacterium. Its description in RNAcentral is "bacterial SSU rRNA". It matches the Rfam family "Bacterial small subunit ribosomal RNA", at positions 772 to 1272 of the family's 1533-position model. The record is from RNAcentral.
ACUGAAUAGAUACCCGGGUAGUCCACGCCCUAAACGAUGACAACUGGCUAUAAGGAGUAUCGACCCUCUUUGUGGCGAAAGCUAAACGCGUUAAGUUGUCCGCCUGGGUAGUACGGCCGCAAGGCUAAAACUCAAAGGAAUAGACGGGGACUUGCACAAGCGGUGGAUCAUGCGGCUCAAUUCGAUGACAAACGAAGAACCUCACCAGGGUUUGAAACCCAGACGAUCGCUCUAGGAAACUAGAGCUUCCGCAAGGCGGCUGGGCAGGUGAUGCAUGGUCGUCGUCAGUUCGUGGCUUGAGUUGUUCCCUUCAGUGGGGUAACGAACGCAACCCUCGUUGCCUGUUUUAAAACGUCAGGCGAGACUGCCCCCGUCACGGGGGUAGGAAGGUGAGGAUGACGCCAGACCAGCAUGUCCCUCUGAUAUCCUGGGCUGCACGCAUGAUACAAUGGACGAGACAACGGGUCGCGACGGAGUAAUCCUGAGCUAAU